UCCUUUAUCCUGCGUCGUCGCCUGCCUCUUCUCCUCCUGUCCUCCUUUCGUUUCGUUUCCCCUCGGUGCUCACUCCUCUCCGUGCUCCUACGCUCUGGUCUGUGAGUCGUCGCUAGGGUUGGUCGCCGAAGGGCUCCGAUGGCGGCGCGCUGCCGUGACGCCAGUUAAGAUCCGCUGUUCUCCUCUUCGCUGGGCCUGGAUCCGCUGCACCGUUCUUCGAUCUGCGGUUGCUCCUGCUUGGUCAGCGAACCUGCUCAUCCUCGUGUGCGUGUUGGUCUUCGCGUCUUGCUCCAAGGAUCUGCAGGUUGUUUUGGUCUAGAGGUUAUUUCUCUAAGAUGGUCGUGUUGAUAGGCCCUGUAACGUGGUGGUGUUGUUGGUUGCUUCGCACGGUAAGCCAUAACUUGGUAAUAAGAUUAAUUUUCAUGUCCUUCGGUAUGUAUGCUCAUGCGUUUGUCCCUUUGUAUGGUGUGUGUCGGUAUUUUCUCGGUUUUCCUUAAUGUGUCAUAACUACAGGCAUGUUUAUCCUGCGUUCUUCGUGUGUGCCUCUGUUUGAGGCUGUUGCGAGCUACUGUCGACUGCCAUUCCAUUCAUAUGUUCGAGAGGUGGCGUCUGAUGGUUCUCUACUUGGAGGGGUUGAGAUCGAUGUUCUUGUUA
This is a long non-coding RNA of Triticum aestivum (bread wheat), 654 nucleotides long. RefSeq lists it as uncharacterized. The transcript has 4 exons. The record is from RefSeq and is a predicted model, not a curated record. NCBI's taxonomy places the organism in Eukaryota, Viridiplantae, Streptophyta, Magnoliopsida, Poales, Poaceae.